CCCCUGGUGGUCUAGUGGUUAAGAUUUGGCACUUUCACUGCUGUGACCUGGGUUCAAUCCCUGAUCUGGGAA
Transfer RNA from Sus scrofa (pig), 72 nucleotides. It matches the Rfam family "tRNA". From Rfam's summary of the family: Transfer RNA (tRNA) molecules are approximately 80 nucleotides in length. NCBI's taxonomy places the organism in Eukaryota, Metazoa, Chordata, Mammalia, Artiodactyla, Suidae. The record is from Rfam.